UGCAGAUGAUGUCUUUUCACGAUGGUCUUCCGGUGCUCACCCUGGGCACUGCUGAGAAAGCCACUUCCACAGCUGAUGGCGGAAG
Mustela putorius furo (domestic ferret) is the source of this 85-nucleotide small nucleolar RNA. Lineage: Eukaryota; Metazoa; Chordata; Mammalia; Carnivora; Mustelidae. The record is from Ensembl.